RNAcentral lists this long non-coding RNA (653 nucleotides) under Homo sapiens (human). RNAcentral's name for it is "non-protein coding lnc-UXS1-4:1". The record is from RNAcentral. Lineage: Eukaryota; Metazoa; Chordata; Mammalia; Primates; Hominidae.
AAAACUGAGGAAGAAAACUGACAAGGUUUUCAAGGGAAUUUCCAGGCUGAGAAUCUACGAUGGCCAGUGAGCUGGUAUGAUUCAUACGAAGUUCCAUGUCUCACUUAUCUCUCCAAAUCAUGGUUCUUCACGAGGGAGCCCUUCUUCAGGCUGUUCUUCCGCUCCACGUAGUUGGACGGUACAUAGCCCGUCCUGUUGGCCGCGUUCCUCACCCGCCACCACGUCUUGGAGUCGUCCAGCAACCACAGCCGCUCGUUCUUCUUGAUGUCCAGCUCCUGGUCCUGCUGGGCGGUGUAGUCCCACUUGGCUAUCACAAUAACUUCUUCUGUCAUCUUUCAUGGAGUCCUUCUGCCAGCAAAACAUUUGGAGAUGCUCAUUAGAGAACUACCCGGACACUUCAUCCUUUGCACCAACUUGAAAAAUUAGGCACUGACAGCUUUUAUUACAACUCUGCAACCAGUUUUCUCCUGGGUCUUGAAAUGCUCAACUUUAAAAUGACCUUCUUUCAACAAGCUUUAGUAUUUGGUUUAGAAACAGCAACCUUAUAAAACAAAUCUUAUGUUACUGUUUGCUGUACAUGGGGAAAUCUGACCCUCUAACAAAAACAAACUUGAAAAAAAUUCUAAAUAACAUUAUAAUUAAAUGAGUCCAUU